RNAcentral lists this long non-coding RNA (923 nucleotides) under Hordeum vulgare. RNAcentral describes it as "long non-coding RNA (HVUL_LNC004964)". Lineage: Eukaryota; Viridiplantae; Streptophyta; Magnoliopsida; Poales; Poaceae. The record is from RNAcentral.
AUUGUUUCUUAAUUACAUUUUUGCGCAUGUGAACGUUGUUUCACUUGGUGGUUUCUAUCUUGAGUUUGGCAUCGACGAAUAGCUUGGGAAUCCCAAACAUCAGUCUGGUUCCUCUCAAGGGUCAUUUGUUUUGUGCAAGGCUUCGUAAGACAUUUGUUACUUAUCUGUACACACACAUGAUUUGCUUCUGUUGUAGCUUGCAUGCUUGAGUGUUGGGUCAUGUGAUCCUUGCUUGUAAUGAGUAUGCUAUGAAUGGCUCCUCUGAGUCUUAACAAAUGCUUUGCGUCGUAAAAUUAUGUUGUGAUGCCAUGAUCUACCAAUAUAUAUCGUGAAUAUUGUGUGUAUGCUUUUGAAAUACAUGUUAUGUGUGGGAUUCGACACCUAGUUACACACCGCUGGCAACCUUUCUUAUAGGCAAAUGCCUCGAUGUGUUUCCAUUGAGCCUUGAUAGUUUGCUACUGCUUCGGAACACAAUGAUUGACCAACAUGCUUCGUGAGGGGUUCCUGUGUUUGACUGAGCCAGAAUCUCUAUCAUGUACUCUACUAGCGACUUACUCAUACAAGCUAGAGACAAAAGACGCAAACGGUCUGGUCCACGUAAGGUGAAAGUGGCGUGUUACACGUUAGAUACACGUGCGUAGACAUCGGGAUCUUACACGAGGCCAUGUAUGGUGAAGGUAGGAGAUUGUUUUUCUUUAUCCUCCACAAGCAAAGGUUUUCUUACAUUGGCAUAAAACUAAAAACGCAUAAAAUACACAUGGAUAUUAUAUCUCGCUUAUAAAGAGACUAUCACCCGACUCAUUUAAAUGACACAUUCAUAUGUGCCGACCCUUAGCGUUGUGCUCGCUAUUUCAGCCGCUCACUUGCUCGUUUUAUGUACAAUUAUGUCUUCUUUUUUCCCUUUUUUGUUUUUCAUAUUUUUU